Molecule: non-coding RNA, 72 nt
Organism: Pangasianodon gigas (Mekong giant catfish)
Lineage: Eukaryota; Metazoa; Chordata; Actinopteri; Siluriformes; Pangasiidae
Source: the annotation of a GenBank genome assembly
GGGAGUAUAUCUCUGUGGUAGAGCGUUUGACUGCAGGGAAAGAGGUCCCUGGUUCAAAUCCGAGUGUCCCCU